GGUCAGGCGGGUACCCGCU
RNAcentral lists this ribosomal RNA (19 nucleotides) under Lagenaria siceraria (white-flowered gourd). RNAcentral describes it as "partial 28S ribosomal RNA". Lineage: Eukaryota; Viridiplantae; Streptophyta; Magnoliopsida; Cucurbitales; Cucurbitaceae. The record is from RNAcentral.